GACGAACCGUGCGAACGUUAUUCGGAAUCACUGGGCUUAAAGGGCGCGUAGGCGGGCGGCCAAGUCCGGGGUGAAAGCCCCCAGCUCAACUGGGGAAGUGCCUCGGAUACUGGUCGUCUCGAGGGAGAUAGGGGCGUGCGGAACUUCCGGUGGAGCGGUGAAAUGCGUAGAUAUCGGAAGGAACACCGGUGGCGAAAGCGGCGCGCUGGAUCUCUUCUGACGCUGAGGCGCGAAAGCCAGGGGAGCGAACGGG
RNAcentral lists this ribosomal RNA (253 nucleotides) under uncultured bacterium. Its description in RNAcentral is "partial 16S ribosomal RNA". It matches the Rfam family "Bacterial small subunit ribosomal RNA", at positions 524 to 776 of the family's 1533-position model. The record is from RNAcentral.